UGCCAGCAGCCGCGGUAAUUCCAGCUCUCAAAAUGCAUAGAAUUAUUGGUGNCGGUAAAAAGCUCGUAGUUGGAUCUGUGCUGAGGACCUGGUCCACCUUCGGGUGCGUACUAGGCUCCCCGGCUUUUCUGCCGGUUUUCCCGUCCUGGCUUUCUUCGGCUGUGGCGGGUGGCUGGUGGUUUUUCUUUGAACAAAUCAGAGUGCUUCAAACAGGCGUUUAGCUUGAAUGUUUUUGCAUGGAAUAAUAGAAGAGGAUUUCGGUUCUAUUUUAUUGGUUUUAUAGACUGAAAUAAUGGUUAACAGAGACCAACGGGGGCAUUCGUACCGCUGCGUGAGAGGUGAAAUUCUUGGACCGCAGCGAGACGAACUACAGCGAAAGCAUUUGCCAAGAAGGUCUUCAUUAAUCAAGAACGAAAGUCAGAGGUUCGAAGGCGAUCAGAUACCGCCCUAGUUCUGACCGUAAACGAUGCCAACUAGCGAUCUGCCGGUGGAAUUUUCGCCCUGGUAGGGAGCUUCCCGGAAACGAAAGUCUUCCGGUUCCGGGGGAAGUAUGGUUGCAAAGCUGAAACUUAAAGGAAUUGACGGAAGGGCACCACCAGGAGUGGAGCCUGCGGCUUAAUUUGACUCAACACGGGGAAACUCACCCGGCCCGGACACCAUAAGGAUUGACAGAUUGAUAGCUUUUUCAUGAUUUGGUGGAUGGUGGUGCAUGGCCGUUCUUAGUUCGUGGAGCGAUUUGUCUGGUUUAUUCCGAUAACGAGCGAGACUCUAGCCUACUAAAUAGUCUGCACAUUGCUUCUGUGAUGCAGUACUUCUUAGAGGGAUUUUCGGUGUACAGCCGCACGAGAUUGAGCAAUAACAGGUCUGUGAUGCCCUUAGAUGUCCGGGGCUGCACGCGCGCUACACUGGCGAAAUCAGCGUGCUUGUCCUUGCUCGAAAGAGCUUGGUAAACCAAUGAAAAUUUGCCGUGAUUGGGAUCGGAAAUUGCAAUUAUUUUCCGUGAACGAGGAAUCACAAGUAAAUGCGAUUCUUCUUUU
Molecule: ribosomal RNA, 1037 nt
Filed under: Ditylenchus weischeri
Lineage: Eukaryota; Metazoa; Nematoda; Chromadorea; Rhabditida; Anguinidae
Description: SSU rRNA
Rfam family: Eukaryotic small subunit ribosomal RNA
Source: RNAcentral